ACCAUUGUAGAUAAAUAUGUUGUAUUUGAAAUACAAAUACAAGCAACAAACAAUGUAACUAUGUGCAAUGUAAAACAUGAAUAAUGUAGGAGGAAUUGCCACAGAGGAAGUGUUCACUAUAAUCAUAUUCUGUAUAAGGAAAAAAAACAAAGGGCCAUAAUUAACUAAAAAUUAUUCAAUCACAAAACCCCGACAAUAUGCGCCAGGGCACUGGAUGACAAAGCUACUGUGAAAGUUUGAACAAAAUCCGUUGAGAAAUGUAGGAGUUCAGCACAGAAAAUUUUUUUCACUA
Molecule: long non-coding RNA, 292 nt
Organism: Ruditapes philippinarum (Manila clam)
Lineage: Eukaryota; Metazoa; Mollusca; Bivalvia; Venerida; Veneridae
Exons: 2
Source: RefSeq, a predicted model, not a curated record